Molecule: ribosomal RNA, 222 nt
Filed under: uncultured bacterium
Lineage: Bacteria
Description: partial 16S ribosomal RNA
Rfam family: Bacterial small subunit ribosomal RNA
Source: RNAcentral
UACGUAGGGUGCAAGCGUUAAUCGGAAUUACUGGGCGUAAAGCGUGCGCAGGCGGUGAUGUAAGACAGUUGUGAAAUCCCCGGGCUCAACCUGGGAACUGCAUCUGUGACUGCAUCGCUGGAGUACGGUAGAGGGGGAUGGAAUUCCGCGUGUAGCAGUGAAAUGCGUAGAUAUGCGGAGGAACACCGAUGGCGAAGGCAAUCCCCUGGACCUGUACUGACG